CCUACGGGUGACAGCAGUGGGGAAUAUUGGGCAAUGGGCGCAAGCCUGACCCAGCAAUGCCGCGUGAAUGAAGAAGGUCUUAGGAUUGUAAAAUUCUGUCCUUUGGGGAGAAAAGAAUGACGGUACUAUAGGAGGACGCCCCGGCUAACUACGUGCCAGCAGCCGCGGUAAUACGUAGGGGGCGAGCGUUGUCCGGAAUUACUGGGCGUAAAGAGAGCGUAGGCGGCACUACAAGUCUUAUGUGAAAUACCCGGGCUUAACUGGGGGGUUGCAUGUGAAACUGUAGGGCUUGAGUACAGGAGAGGCAAGCGGAAUUCGUAGUGUAGCGGUGAAAUGCAUAGAUAUCAGGAGGAACACCAGUGGCGAAGGCGGCCUGCUGGACUGUAACUGACGCUGAGGCUCGAAAGUGUGGGGAGCAAACAGGAUUAGAUACCCCAGUAGUC
RNAcentral lists this ribosomal RNA (443 nucleotides) under uncultured bacterium. RNAcentral's name for it is "partial 16S ribosomal RNA". It matches the Rfam family "Bacterial small subunit ribosomal RNA", at positions 338 to 795 of the family's 1533-position model. The record is from RNAcentral.